Molecule: ribosomal RNA, 785 nt
Filed under: uncultured bacterium
Lineage: Bacteria
Description: bacterial SSU rRNA
Rfam family: Bacterial small subunit ribosomal RNA
Source: RNAcentral
AGAGUUUGAUCCUGGCUCAGGAUGAACGCUAGCGGCAGGCUUAACACAUGCAAGUCGAGGGGUAUAGUAGCAAUACUAGAGACCGGCGCACGGGUGCGUAACGCGUAUGCAAUCUACCUUUUGCAGAGGGAUAGCCCAGAGAAAUUUGGAUUAAUACCUCAUAGUAUAUAGAGUUGGCAUCAACACUAUAUUAAAGUCACAACGGCAAAAGAUGAGCAUGCGUCCCAUUAGUUAGUUGGUAAGGUAACGGCUUACCAAGACUACGAUGGGUAGGGGUCCUGAGAGGGAGAUCCCCCACACUGGUACUGAGACACGGACCAGACUCCUACGGGAGGCAGCAGUGAGGAAUAUUGGACAAUGGGCGCAAGCCUGAUCCAGCCAUGCCGCGUGCAGGAUGACGGUCCUAUGGAUUGUAAACUGCUUUUGUACAGGAAGAAACAUCCCGACGUGUCGGGACUUGACGGUACUGUGAGAAUAAGGAUCGGCUAACUCCGUGCCAGCAGCCGCGGUAAUACGGAGGAUCCAAGCGUUAUCCGGAAUCAUUGGGUUUAAAGGGUCCGUAGGCGGUUUAGUAAGUCAGUGGUGAAAGCCCAUCGCUCAACGGUGGAACGGCCAUUGAUACUGCUAGACUUGAAUUAUUAGGAAGUAACUAGAAUAUGUAGUGUAGCGGUGAAAUGCUUAGAGAUUACAUGGAAUACCAAUUGCGAAGGCAGGUUACUACUAAUGGAUUGACGCUGAUGGACGAAAGCGUGGGUAGCGAACAGGAUUAGAUACCCUGGUAGUCC